This 872-nucleotide long non-coding RNA is filed under the name Olea europaea subsp. europaea. The record is from RNAcentral. Lineage: Eukaryota; Viridiplantae; Streptophyta; Magnoliopsida; Lamiales; Oleaceae.
CCAAGUUGUUGCAUCAAACAGUUUUGAAACUCUAAGCAGCCUCAGCAACAUUAAUAUCACUCCAGAUCAAUGUCAACAGAUCAUCUCAAUGCUGAGGCCUCAACUCGAAGCUUUCAUGCCUUCACCUGUCACCACUACCACCACUCCAUUUACCACUAGUUCUGUAAACCAUGUUGGGGACCUGCAAGUUACAUCAACUCAAUCUCCAACAAUGCCUUCAGCAUCAUCCUUCUCAGGUAGUAGCCUAGCAUGUUCUGCUUACACAUACACCAAGAGCACUUGGAUAAUCGAUACUGGUGCGACAGACCACAUUGUUUGUUCUGUCCAACAACUUACCACCAUCACAGCUACCAUUAAUGGGAAUGUCAAGUUGCCUAAUGGUCAUGUUGCAGCGGUUACACAUAUAGGGACAGUUCAGCUUUCAAGUGACCUUACUUUGACAAAUGUUCUCUGUGUUCCAUGUUUUACUUUUAAUCUCAUAUCUGCCAGUAAGUUGGUCUCAGUUCACCAUUGUUGUUUGAUCUUCAUAUUUGCUUAUUGUUUCAUUCAGGACCUUUUAUCUUGGAAGACGAUUGGGAUAGGGAAAAUUGAUGGUGGCCUCUACCACUUACAGCUUCAACCAUCUCAACAACAACAUCACACUUCACUGUCCAAUACAUCUGAACCUACUACCAAUACUGCUUACAGUCAUUCCUUCGACCUUUGGCAUAGUAGAUUAGGUCAUGUUCCUAGCUCUAGAAUCUCUAUUAUCAAUAAAACUGUACCAGAAGUACUUAGUGAAUCGAACUUUCGUUGUACUGUCUGCCCACUUGCUAAUCAGCAUGUAUUACCUUUUCAUAUUAGUACACAUGUAUCCAGCAGUAUCUUUGAAC